RNAcentral lists this transfer RNA (85 nucleotides) under Felis catus (domestic cat). It matches the Rfam family "tRNA". From Rfam's summary of the family: Transfer RNA (tRNA) molecules are approximately 80 nucleotides in length. Lineage: Eukaryota; Metazoa; Chordata; Mammalia; Carnivora; Felidae. The record is from Rfam by way of RNAcentral.
GCCCGGGUGGCUCAGUUGGUUGAGCAUCUGACUUCGGCUCAGGUCAUGAUCUCGCACUUUGUGAGUCUGAGUCCCACAUGGGGCU